GGCAUGCAAAAUGCAGUACAGGCUACGGCAGGCCAACGGCGGUCUGCGCACACGACAAAGGCGUCGC
This 67-nucleotide non-coding RNA is filed under the name unclassified sequences. RNAcentral's name for it is "narK RNA". It matches the Rfam family "narK RNA". The record is from RNAcentral.